UAUUAAAGGACCAAAGAACAGAGUCAG
This 27-nucleotide non-coding RNA is filed under the name Drosophila melanogaster (fruit fly). Lineage: Eukaryota; Metazoa; Arthropoda; Insecta; Diptera; Drosophilidae. The record is from RNAcentral.